CCUACGGGCGGCAGCAGUGGGGAAUAUUGGACAAUGGGCGAAAGCCUGAUCCAGCCAUGCCGCGUGUGUGAAGAAGGCCUUCGGGUUGUAAAGCACUUUCAGUGGGGAAGAAAGCCUUGGGGCUAAUACCCUCGAGGAAGGACAUCACCCACAGAAGAAGCACCGGCUAACUCCGUGCCAGCAGCCGCGGUAAUACGGAGGGUGCGAGCGUUAAUCGGAAUUACUGGGCGUAAAGCGCGCGUAGGCGGUCUGAUAAGCCGGUUGUGAAAGCCCCGGGCUCAACCUGGGAACGGCAUCCGGAACUGUCAGGCUAGAGUGCAGGAGAGGAAGGUAGAAUUCCCGGUGUAGCGGUGAAAUGCGUAGAGAUCGGGAGGAAUACCAGUGGCGAAGGCGGCCUUCUGGACUGACACUGACGCUGAGGUGCGAAAGCGUGGGUAGCAAACAGGAUUAGAUACCCCGGUAGUC
Molecule: ribosomal RNA, 465 nt
Filed under: Vreelandella stevensii
Lineage: Bacteria; Pseudomonadati; Pseudomonadota; Gammaproteobacteria; Oceanospirillales; Halomonadaceae
Description: partial 16S ribosomal RNA
Rfam family: Bacterial small subunit ribosomal RNA
Source: RNAcentral